This 336-nucleotide ribosomal RNA is filed under the name bacterium C13(2015). Its description in RNAcentral is "bacterial SSU rRNA". It matches the Rfam family "Bacterial small subunit ribosomal RNA", at positions 1157 to 1493 of the family's 1533-position model. The record is from RNAcentral.
UUUUAACUGGAGGAAGGUGGGGAUGACGUCAAGUCAUCAUGGCCCUUACGAGUAGGGCUACACACGUGCUACAAUGGCGCAUACAAAGAGAAGCGACCUCGCGAGAGCAAGCGGACCUCACAAAGUGCGUCGUAGUCCGGAUCGGAGUCUGCAACUCGACUCCGUGAAGUCGGAAUCGCUAGUAAUCGUGGAUCAGAAUGCCACGGUGAAUACGUUCCCGGGCCUUGUACACACCGCCCGUCACACCAUGGGAGUGGGUUGCAAAAGAAGUAGGUAGCUUAACCUUCGGGAGGGCGCUUACCACUUUGUGAUUCAUGACUGGGGUGAAGUCUAACC